This 492-nucleotide ribosomal RNA is filed under the name uncultured bacterium. Its description in RNAcentral is "partial 16S ribosomal RNA". It matches the Rfam family "Bacterial small subunit ribosomal RNA", at positions 29 to 507 of the family's 1533-position model. The record is from RNAcentral.
AGUGAACGCUGGCGGUAGGCCUAACACAUGCAAGUCGAACGGCAGCACAGUAAGAGCUUGCUCUUACGGGUGGCGAGUGGCGGACGGGUGAGGAAUAAAUCGGAAUCUACCUUUUCGUGGGGGAUAACGUAGGGAAACUUACGCUAAUACCGCAUACGACCUACGGGUGAAAGCAGGGGAUCUUCGGACCUUGCGCGAUUGAAUGAGCCGAUGUCGGAUUAGCUAGUUGGCGGGGUAAAGGCCCACCAAGGCGACGAUCCGUAGCUGGUCUGAGAGGAUGAUCAGCCACACUGGAACUGAGACACGGUCCAGACUCCUACGGGAGGCAGCAGUGGGGAAUAUUGGACAAUGGGCGCAAGCCUGAUCCAGCCAUACCGCGUGGGUGAAGAAGGCCUUCGGGUUGUAAAGCCCUUUUGUUGGGAAAGAAAAGCAGCAGGUUAAUACCCCGCUGUUCUGACGGUACCCAAAGAAUAAGCACCGGCUAACUUCGUG